GGCACGGGUGAGUAACACGUAUCCAACCUGCCGUCUACUCUUGGACAGCCUUCUGAAAGGAAGAUUAAUACAAGAUGGCAUCAUGAGUCCGCAUGUUCACAUGAUUAAAGGUAUUCCGGUAGACGAUGGGGAUGCGUUCCAUUAGAUAGUGGGCGGGGUAACGGCCCACCUAGUCUUCGAUGGAUAGGGGUUCUGAGAGGAAGGUCCCCCACAUUGGAACUGAGACACGGUCCAAACUCCUACGGGAGGCAGCAUG
RNAcentral lists this ribosomal RNA (256 nucleotides) under uncultured bacterium. RNAcentral describes it as "partial 16S ribosomal RNA". It matches the Rfam family "Bacterial small subunit ribosomal RNA", at positions 99 to 353 of the family's 1533-position model. The record is from RNAcentral.